GAAUUUUGGACAAUGGGGGAAACCCUGAUCCAGCCAUGCCGCGUGUGUGAAGAAGGCCUUAUGGUUGUAAAGCACUUUAAGCGAGGAGGAGGCUCUCUUGGUUAAUACCCAAGAUGAGUGGACGUUACUCGCAGAAUAAGCACCGGCUAACUCUGUGCCAGCAGCCGCGGUAAUACAGAGGGUGCGAGCGUUAAUCGGAUUUACUGGGCGUAAAGCGUGCGUAGGCGGCUUUUUAAGUCGGAUGUGAAAUCCCCGAGCUUAACUUGGGAAUUGCAUUCGAUACUGGGAAGCUAGAGUAUGGGAGAGGAUGGUAGAAUUCCAGGUGUAGCGGUGAAAUGCGUAGAGAUCUGGAGGAAUACCGAUGGCGAAGGCAGCCAUCUGGCCUAAUACUGACGCUGAGGUACGAAAGCAUGGGGAGCAAACAG
This 425-nucleotide ribosomal RNA is filed under the name uncultured bacterium. RNAcentral's name for it is "bacterial SSU rRNA". It matches the Rfam family "Bacterial small subunit ribosomal RNA", at positions 359 to 775 of the family's 1533-position model. The record is from RNAcentral.